Long non-coding RNA from Zophobas morio, 736 nucleotides. RefSeq lists it as uncharacterized. The record is from RefSeq and is a predicted model, not a curated record. The transcript has 4 exons. Lineage: Eukaryota; Metazoa; Arthropoda; Insecta; Coleoptera; Tenebrionidae.
AGCGGCGCCAGAGGAGAUUUCCGACUGGAUGCGGUACCACCAUGGACACUCGCGUAACCUCCUUUUCCACAAUUGUCAAAAUGAGAUUGCCAAACUCAAAGCAAUCAUGGAUUAAGCAUUUCAUUUUAAAUUCAUUUAGUAUCAAAUGGUACAUGGUAUUCGUAUUUUGGGUUGCGUAAAAAUAAUUUUCAGAAGUAAUUCUCUCGUGACUAACCCUGUAUACAGCCAGGGGGAAUUCAUAGACUAAGUAAAGAUGCCCUGCCCUCGAAGAUCCCUUCAACAAGUGGACUUUCAGAAAGCGACUCGACAGAAGCAAAUUCCAGCAGUUCGUCACAAAAAACAAUUAAAGAAUGUGAGCAAAGUACUCAGCAGCUGACAACACAACAAGCAGACUUGUCAAUACUAGCUCAACCACUAUCAUGGUCUUCGGAAACUUUGACAGCUACAGAGUCUGUGGAUGAAGCAGUCAUCACUAGACAACCCGGUGCAAGUAUGAGUCAGUCCAUGGGUCCACCAAAGUUCAGGUUGGGAAAACGAAAAAUAACUUCAGUACAGGGUAGUAUAAAAAGUUCGACCACAGAAUCACUUGACUCUGUUAAAAAAACUAAUGUCCCUAGUAGACCUUUAAUGAAAAGGGUAAAACGUGCACGAUAUAUAGGUGAUUGUUCAACUGAUGAAAUGAGAACUCCUAGAAAAGCGAAAAGAAAUUGGCAAAUAGCCAAAAAGACAAUAACGA